Molecule: unclassified non-coding RNA, 296 nt
Filed under: uncultured fungus
Lineage: Eukaryota; Fungi
Description: sequence contains ITS1
Rfam family: 5.8S ribosomal RNA (bases 1-105)
Source: RNAcentral
GAAAUGCGAUAAGGAGUGUGAAUUGCAGAAUUCAGUGAAUCAUCGAAUCUUUGAACUCACAUUGCGCCCCUUGGUAUUCCAUUGGACAUGCCUGUUCGAGCGUCAUUUGUACCCUCAAGCUUUGCUUGGUGUUGGGUGUUUGUCCUCUCUGGAGGACUCGCCUCAAAACAAUUGGCAGCCGGCAUAUUGGUAUCGGAGCGCAGCACAAGUCUCGCUUCUUUCCACGAAUGUCAGCAUCCAUCAAGACUAUUUUCACUCUUGACCGCGGAUCAGGUAGGGAUACCCGCUGAACUUGA